UACACGAGUGGCGAACGGGUGAGUAACACGUGGGUAAUCUGCCCUGCACUUCGGGAUAAGCCUGGGAAACUGGGUCUAAUACCGGAUAUGAACUCCUGCCGCAUGGUGGGGGUUGGAAAGUUUUUCGGUGCAGGAUGAGCCCGCGGCCUAUCAGCUUGUUGGUGGGGUAAUGGCCUACCAAGGCGACGACGGGUAGCCGGCCUGAGAGGGUGAUCGGCCACACUGGGACUGAGACACGGCCCAGACUCCUACGGGAGGCAGCAGUGGGGAAUAUUGCACAAUGGGCGAAAGCCUGAUGCAGCGACGCCGCGUGGGGGAUGACGGUCUUCGGAUUGUAAACCCCUUUCAGUAGGGACGAAGCGCAAGUGACGGUACCUGCAGAAGAAGCACCGGCUAACUACGUGCCAGCAGCCGCGGUAAUACGUAGGGUGCGAGCGUUGUCCGGAAUUACUGGGCGUAAAGAGCUCGUAGGCGGUUUGUCACGUCGUCUGUGAAAUCCCUCGGCUUAACCGGGGGCGUGCAGGCGAUACGGGCAGACUUGAGUACUACAGGGGAGACUGGAAUUCCUGGUGUAGCGGUGAAAUGCGCAGAUAUCAGGAGGAACACCGGUGGCGAAGGCGGGUCUCUGGGUAGUAACUGACGCUGAGGAGCGAAAGCAUGGGUAGCGAACAGGAUUAGAUACCCUGGUAGUCCAUGCCGUAAACGGUGGGCGCUAGGUGUGGGGUCCUUCCACGGACUCCGUGCCGUAGCUAACGCAUUAAG
This 762-nucleotide ribosomal RNA is filed under the name Dietzia maris. RNAcentral's name for it is "bacterial SSU rRNA". It matches the Rfam family "Bacterial small subunit ribosomal RNA", at positions 88 to 864 of the family's 1533-position model. The record is from RNAcentral. Lineage: Bacteria; Bacillati; Actinomycetota; Actinomycetes; Mycobacteriales; Dietziaceae.